This 605-nucleotide unclassified non-coding RNA is filed under the name Hevea brasiliensis (rubber tree). The record is from RNAcentral. Lineage: Eukaryota; Viridiplantae; Streptophyta; Magnoliopsida; Malpighiales; Euphorbiaceae.
UUUUAGGCCAACAUUGAGGUGUGGUUACUAUUUUAUGUAUGGUUUUGGGUAUGACGAGGUUAAUGAUGAUUAUAAGGUAGUGGGUGUUUUCUGUAUUUUUGGUGUUGGUAGUUCGUAUGAUGUUGAGGUGAAGGUAUAUGGUUUAAAGAGUGAUUCUUGGAGAAAUAUUGAUGAUUAUCACGGUGGGGUGUUGUUGAAUGAUUCGGGUAAGUUUGUGAAGGGGAAGCUUCAUUGGGCUACUUCUGCUCGUUUUGGUGGGUAUAAUGGCUGGGAUAUCGUUUCUAUUGAUUUGAAGGAUGAGAAAUGGGGAAAGAUAGAGCAGCCCUGCUAUGAAAAAGGAAAUUUUGAUUUUGUGUUGGGAGUGUUGGAAGAUAAUCUUUCUGUGCUUUGUAAUUAUAACAGAACUCGGGCAGAUGUGUGGAUCAUGAAGGAUUACGGGGUUAAAGAUUCUUGGGAAAAAAUGUAUACCAUCAGUUGUCCUAAUGACCCUGGGAAGUAUAUGUUCUCUCCACCCCUUUGCAUGUCAAAAAAAGGUGAAAUUUUACUCGUGUUUGGAUCAAUUUUCAUGAUAUACAAUCCCAGUGAUGAUUCGAUCAGAUAUCCGG